RNAcentral lists this long non-coding RNA (329 nucleotides) under Neodiprion lecontei (redheaded pine sawfly). RNAcentral describes it as "uncharacterized LOC124294587". The record is from RNAcentral. Lineage: Eukaryota; Metazoa; Arthropoda; Insecta; Hymenoptera; Diprionidae.
AUCUCGAUGACUGACCAGCUGAAAUGAAACAUGGCACAAUGUGAUCGUUUUCAAAUUACUCUAAAAAUCCCAUACUUUUCUAAAGAAUAUUCUAUUAGUGAAGACAACAAUGAUCAAACAGCGUGUGUCUGUGAAUAGAUGACGAAGAUGAACAAAAACAAGGGGACCUUGUAUAUACGUACUGCCCAAACUCGCCAAGGAUGAUGGCCCCUAUGCCCAGGAGGGCAACGGCGCCAAGUAUGUAUGUGGAAAUGCGAGUUUGCAGCCACGAGGCUCCGACCACCUUCAGCAUGGCUCAUUAGUAUAAGCAACACACCUUGGUCCAAAAG